CAAUAAGCGGAGGAAAAGAAACCAACAGGGAUUACCUCAGUAACGGCGAGUGAAGCGGUAACAGCUCAAAUUUGAAAGCUGGCUCUUUUAGGGUCCGCGUUGUAAUUUGUAGAAGAUGCUUCGGGUGUGGCCCCGGUCUAAGUUCCUUGGAACAGGACGUCAUAGAGGGUGAGAAUCCCGUAUGUGACUGGGUGCCUUCGCUCAUGUGAAGCUCUUUCGACGAGUCGAGUUGUUUGGGAAUGCAGCUCAAAAUGGGUGGUAAAUUUCAUCUAAAGCUAAAUAUUGGCCAGAGACCGAUAGCGCACAAGUAGAGUGAUCGAAAGAUGAAAAGCACUUUGGAAAGAGAGUUAAACAGUACGUGAAAUUGUUGAAAGGGAAGCGCUUGCAACCAGACUUGCGCGCUGAUGAUCAUCCGGGCUUCUGCCCGGUGCACUCGUCUGCGCUCAGGCCAGCAUCGGUUUCGGUGGUGGGAUAAAGGCCUUGGGAAUGUAGCUCCUCUCGGGGAGUGUUAUAGCCCUCGGUGCAAUGCCGCCUACCGGGACCGAGGACCGCGCUUCGGCUAGGAUGCUGGCGUAAUGGUUGUAAGCGACCCGUCUUGAAACACGGACCAAGGAGUCUAACAUCUAUGCGAGUGUUUGGGUGUCAAACCCAUACGCGUAAUGAAAGUGAACGGAGGUGAGAACCCUUAAGGGUGCAUCAUCGACCGGUCCUGAUGUCUUCGGAUGGAUCUGAGUAAGAGCAUAGCUGUUGGGACCCGAAAGAUGGUGAACUAUGCGUGAAUAGGGUGAAGCCAGAGGAAACUCUGGUGGAGGCUCGCAGCGGUUCUGACGUGCAAAUCGAUCGUCAAAUUUGCGUAUA
Molecule: ribosomal RNA, 858 nt
Filed under: Spermospora zeae
Lineage: Eukaryota; Fungi; Ascomycota; Leotiomycetes; Helotiales; Ploettnerulaceae
Description: partial large subunit ribosomal RNA
Rfam family: Eukaryotic large subunit ribosomal RNA
Source: RNAcentral